AUUGAACGCUGGCGGCAUGCUUUACACAUGCAAGUCGAACGGCAGCGCGGGCUUCGGCCUGGUGGCGAGUGGCGAACGGGUGAGUAAUACAUCGGAACGUGCCCAGCAGUGGGGGAUAGCUCGGCGAAAGCCGGAUUAAUACCGUAUACGACCUGAGGGUGAAAGCGGGGGAUCUUCGGACCUCGCGCUAUUGGAGCGGCCGAAGGCAGAUUAGCUAGUUGGUGGGGUAAAGGCCUACCAAGGCGACGAUCUGUAGCUGGUCUGAGAGGACGACCAGCCACACUGGGACUGAGACACGGCCCAGACUCCUACGGGAGGCAGCAGUGGGGAAGUUUGGACAAUGGGCGAAAGCCUGAUCCAGCAAUGCCGCGUGAGUGAUGAAGGCCUUCGGAUUGUAAAGCACUGUUGGCAGGAACGAAAAGGACUGUGCCAAUACCACGGUUCGAUGACGGUACCCGCAGAAUAAGCACCGGCUAACUACGUG
This 484-nucleotide ribosomal RNA is filed under the name uncultured bacterium. RNAcentral's name for it is "partial 16S ribosomal RNA". It matches the Rfam family "Bacterial small subunit ribosomal RNA", at positions 29 to 507 of the family's 1533-position model. The record is from RNAcentral.